This 471-nucleotide long non-coding RNA is filed under the name Bos indicus x Bos taurus (hybrid cattle). RNAcentral's name for it is "lncRNA (ENSBIXG00005017458.1)". Lineage: Eukaryota; Metazoa; Chordata; Mammalia; Artiodactyla; Bovidae. The record is from RNAcentral.
GCCGCUUAAGCCUGAGAUUUUUCUCACUAGAGCCAGGAUGACAAUGUCGUCUACUCUUGGGACCCUGGAAACACUGGGAGGUAGUAGGAUACUGAAUCUGUGAGAGCCUUGAAUCAACCAACCCAUCCACCAACAAACACCUGUAAAGUUUCCACCACAGUGCAGGUACCCUGGGAACAAGGCUGGGGAGGACCCCUCCUUCAUGGACAGAAAAUGCACUCAGCAGGUGUAAUGGGUUACACCACCUGGCAGAGAGCAUGCUGGCUUUCCUUCCUGGAUGACUUGGUUUGAAAGUCACUAAGUGGAGGUCCAGCAAGACAGCGCCCCCCACGUCCGGGACUGUGGGUGCAGGGUGUCGGAGCCCAGGAAAGACGAGGGCAGCAAGUGGGUCACUUACAGAGAACAUGUGAUAAGUAAACAUCUUGAAGAAAAUGGGAGCCAGGCUUCACACUGUCAGAGAAGGAAGUUACG